AGAUUUAUAGUUUAAUUAAAAUAUUAAUUUUGUAAAUUAAAGAUAUUUAUAAUAUAAAUUAAAUCUA
This 67-nucleotide transfer RNA is filed under the name Pheidole smythiesii. RNAcentral describes it as "tRNA-Thr". Lineage: Eukaryota; Metazoa; Arthropoda; Insecta; Hymenoptera; Formicidae. The record is from RNAcentral.